Long non-coding RNA from Ictalurus punctatus (channel catfish), 1598 nucleotides. The record is from Ensembl. NCBI's taxonomy places the organism in Eukaryota, Metazoa, Chordata, Actinopteri, Siluriformes, Ictaluridae.
UAUAUAGUACAUUCUUUCUUUCUUUCUUUUUUCGAUGUUAAAUAGUAUUUAUUACUAUUUUAUAAUGUAUAAUGCUGUUUUAACGGUUGUCUGUCCCACUAGUUAGUACAGUAGGUUUCAUACUAUUUCACUUCAGGAGGCUGUACACUGUUUAGUACAGUAGGAUUCAUACUAUUUCACUGCAUGAGGCUGUACACUGUUUAGUAUGGUACGUUUCAUACUAUUUCACUGCAUGAGGCUAUACACUGUUAGUACAGUAUGUUUCAUACUAUUUCACUGCAUGAGGCUAUACACUGUUAGUACUGUAGGUUUCAUACUAUUUCACUUCAGGAGGCUGUACACUGUUUAGUACUGUAGGUUUCAUACUAUUUCACUUCAGGAGGCUAUACACUGUUUAGUACAGUAGGUUUCAUACUAUUUCACUUCAGGAGGCUAUACACUGUUAGUACAGUAUGUUUCAUACUAUUUCACUGCAUGAGGCUGUACACUGUUUAUACAGUAGGUUUCAUACUAUUUCACUGCAUGAGGCUAUACACUGUUAGUACAGUAGGUUUCAUACUAUUUCACUGCAUGAGGCUGUACACUGUUUAGUACAGUAGGUUUCAUACUAUUUCACUGCAGGAGGCUGUACACUGUUUAGUACAGUAGGAUUCAUACUAUUAUUUCACAAACCCGUGAACAGAAGAACAGAGGUAAAAGUUACAGUUAUUUUGUCUCUCCUAUGUCGGUAAAUGUUCACAGUUUCAACCAAAAGGUACAACAGAACUUCUUUUUUUUUUUUUUUUUGUAAGCAUCCUACGGCUUUUUGAGAACGUUUAUUCACGUCCCUUUUACAGUUCAUCUUCACUCAACUACCUCCAUCCACUUCCUAUCCUUCUCCUUCAGGAGAUUUCUCUGUGCUGUGAAACACAGAGCUGCACUCUGUUUAAGCCAACACGAUUCAGUCAGUACUGCAGUCCAAAUCCGACUUUAGCCUUAGCGUGAUAUCGGAAAAUGUAACGGAUCACGGAGGGAAACACCAAACUACUUCUUUGUGUGGCGGCACUUAUGAUUUUACGACCUGGAAUUAGUCAAAAAGAAAGGAAACGCGACCAACUCCGGCUGUACAUGAAGAGCAGCUCAUGGAAAUGAAGGAAUGUUGUGUAGUUUUAAAUAAGAAAGAAGCUAAAGCUGACCUGUGUGCUGGUGAAGUCUCUCAUUCUUCUCGCGCUGUUGUUCCUCUCCACCCCGGCAUUGUGGCCCAUUCAGGAAGUCUUCAACAGGAUCUUCCCCUCUCUCUCUCUCUCUCUCUCUCUCUCUCUCUCUCUCUCACACACACACACACACACACACACACACACACACACACUUUCAUCUGUCUCUGUUCUCUCUUUUGUCUUCCUUCCCACCCUUAAUUUUUUUCUACUUCUUCCCACUUUUCUCCUCUUGCUCUCUUUCUCACUCUUUCAUUUGUCUCUUCUCUAUUGCAGUCUCUUUUUAUAUUCUCCCACACUUUUAAUUUACUCUUUUAUCAUUUUCCUCAUCUUUCUAUUUAGAUUUCUGCCCCCUAUUUUUCUUCAGCUCUUUUACCUCUUAUUACAGUAAUCAUCUCUUUUUUU